RNAcentral lists this unclassified non-coding RNA (336 nucleotides) under soil metagenome. RNAcentral describes it as "partial contains 5.8S ribosomal RNA, internal transcribed spacer 2, and large subunit ribosomal RNA". The stretch from base 1 to 120 matches the Rfam family "5.8S ribosomal RNA", at positions 35 to 154 of the family's 154-position model. The record is from RNAcentral.
GAUGAAGAACGUAGCGAAAUGCGAUAAGUAAUGUGAAUUGCAGAAUUCAGUGAAUCAUCGAAUCUUUGAACGCACAUUGCGCCCGCCAGUAUUCUGGCGGGCAUGCCUGUUCGAGCGUCAUUUCAACCAUCAAGCCCCAGGCUUGUGUUGAGGACCUGCGGCUGCCGCAGGCCCUGAAAACCAGUGGCGGGCUCGCUGUCACACCGGGCGUAGUAGAUUUUAUCUCGCUCAGGGCGUGCUGCGGGUUCCGGCCGUUAAAAAGCCUUUUUUACCCAAGGUUGACCUCGGAUCAGGUAGGAAUACCCGCUGAACUUAAGCAUAUCAAUAAGCGGAGGA